UACGUAGGUGGCAAGCGUUGUCCGGAUUUAUUGGGCGUAAAGCGAGUGCAGGCGGUUCAAUAAGUCUGAUGUGAAAGCCUUCGGCUCAACCGGAGAAUUGCAUCGGAAACUGUUGAACUUGAGUGCAGAAGAGGAGAGUGGAACUCCAUGUGUAGCGGUGGAAUGCGUAGAUAUAUGGAAGAACACCAGUGGCGAAGGCGGCUCUCUGGUCUGCAACUGACGCUGAGGCUCGAAAGCAUGGGUAGCGAACAGG
RNAcentral lists this ribosomal RNA (253 nucleotides) under uncultured bacterium. Its description in RNAcentral is "partial 16S ribosomal RNA". It matches the Rfam family "Bacterial small subunit ribosomal RNA", at positions 524 to 776 of the family's 1533-position model. The record is from RNAcentral.